Molecule: small nuclear RNA, 107 nt
Filed under: Dasypus novemcinctus (nine-banded armadillo)
Lineage: Eukaryota; Metazoa; Chordata; Mammalia; Cingulata; Dasypodidae
Source: RNAcentral
GUGCUCGCUUUGGCAGCACAUAUACUGCUAUUGGAAUGAUACAGGGAAGAUUAGUAUGGUCCCUGCACAAGGAUGACAUGCAAAUUUGUGAAGUGUUUCAUAAAUUU